RNAcentral lists this ribosomal RNA (1502 nucleotides) under uncultured Acidobacteriota bacterium. RNAcentral's name for it is "uncultured Acidobacteria bacterium 16S ribosomal RNA". It matches the Rfam family "Bacterial small subunit ribosomal RNA". The record is from RNAcentral. Lineage: Bacteria; Pseudomonadati; Acidobacteriota.
AGAGUUUGAUCCUGGCUCAGAAUCAACGCUGGCGGCGUGCCUAACACAUGCAAGUCGAACGCGAGAGGGGCUUCGGCCCCGAUUGAGUGGCAAACGGGUGAGUAACGCGUGGGUGACCUACCUUCGAGUGGGGGAUAACGUCUCGAAAGGGACGCUAAUACCGCAUGACAUCCUGCCUUUGGACAGGCGGAGAUCAAAGCCGGGGACCGCAAGGCCUGGCGCUUGGAGAGGGGCCCGCGUCCGAUUAGCUGGUUGGUGGGGUAACGGCCUACCAAGGCGACGAUCGGUAGCCGGCCUGAGAGGGCGGACGGCCACACUGGGACUGAGACACGGCCCAGACUCCUACGGGAGGCAGCAGUGGGGAAUUGUUCGCAAUGGGCGCAAGCCUGACGACGCAACGCCGCGUGGAGGAUGAAGGUCUUCGGAUUGUAAACUCCUGUUGAUCGGGACGAACAUCUUUCGGGAUAACACCCUGAAGGACUGACGGUACCGGUUGAGGAAGCCCCGGCUAACUCUGUGCCAGCAGCCGCGGUAAUACAGAGGGGGCAAGCGUUGUUCGGAAUACUGGGCGUAAAGGCGCGUAGGCGGCCGGCUAAUCAAACGUGAAAUCCCUCGCUCACCGGGAACUGCGUCUGAUACUGGUCGGCUUGAAUCCGGGAGAGGAAUGCGGAAUUCCAGGUGUAGCGGUGAAAUGCGUAGAUAUCUGGAGGAACACCGGUGGCGAAGGCGGCAUUCUGGACCGGCAUUGACGCUGAGGCGCGAAAGCCAGGGGAGCAAACGGGAUUAGAUACCCCGGUAGUCCUGGCCCUAAACGAUGAGUGCUUGGUGUGGCGGGUAUCGAUCCCUGCCGUGCCGAAGCUAACGCAUUAAGCACUCCGCCUGGGGAGUACGGUCGCAAGGCCGAAACUCAAAGGAAUUGACGGGGGCCCGCACAAGCGGUGGAGCAUGUGGUUUAAUUCGACGCAACGCGAAGAACCUUACCCAGGCUCGAAAUGCAGGUGAUCGACGGCGAAAGUCGUUUUCCGCAAGGACACCUGUAUAGGUGCUGCAUGGCUGUCGUCAGCUCGUGUCGUGAGAUGUUGGGUUAAGUCCCGCAACGAGCGCAACCCUUAUCUGCUGUUGCCAUCAGGUUAUGCUGGGCACUCUGCGGAGACUGCCGGUGAUAAACCGAAGGAAGGUGGGGAUGACGUCAAGUCAGCAUGGCCUUUAUUUCUGGGGCUACACACGUGCUACAAUGGCCGGUACAAAGCGUCGCGAUCCCGCGAGGGGGAGCUAAUCGCAUAAAGCCGGUCUCAGUUCGGAUUGUAGGCUGCAACUCGCCUGCAUGAAGUUGGAAUCGCUAGUAAUCGCAGAUCAGCAGGCUGCGGUGAAUACGUUCCCGGGCCUUGUACACACCGCCCGUCACAUCACGAAAGCUGGCUGUACUAGAAGUUGCUGCGCCAACCCGCAAGGGAGGCAGGUACCUAAGGUAUGGUUAGUGAUUGGGGUGAAGUCGUAACAAG